Molecule: ribosomal RNA, 253 nt
Filed under: uncultured bacterium
Lineage: Bacteria
Description: partial 16S ribosomal RNA
Rfam family: Bacterial small subunit ribosomal RNA
Source: RNAcentral
UACGUAGGGGGCUAGCGUUGUCCGGAAUCAUUGGGCGUAAAGCGCGCGUAGGCGGCCAGAUAAGUCCGGUGUGAAAGCCACAGGCUCAACCUGUGAAUGCUGCUGGAAACUGUCUGGCUAGAGUCCGGGAGGGGCGAGUGGAAUUCCUGGUGUAGCGGUGAAAUGCGCAGAUAUCAGGAGGAACACCAAUGGCGAAGGCAGCUCGCUGGAACGGAACUGACGCUGAGGCGCGAAAGCGUGGGGAGCGAACAGG